RNAcentral lists this ribosomal RNA (397 nucleotides) under uncultured bacterium. RNAcentral's name for it is "partial 16S ribosomal RNA". It matches the Rfam family "Bacterial small subunit ribosomal RNA", at positions 523 to 917 of the family's 1533-position model. The record is from RNAcentral.
AUACGUAGGGUGCGAGCGUUGUCCGGAAUUACUGGGCGUAAAGAGCUCGUAGGUGGUUUGUCGCGUCGUCUGUGAAAUUCCGGGGCUUAACUCCGGGCGUGCAGGCGAUACGGGCAUAACUUGAGUACUGUAGGGGAGACUGGAAUUCCUGGUGUAGCGGUGAAAUGCGCAGAUAUCAGGAGGAACACCGGUGGCGAAGGCGGGUCUCUGGGCAGUAACUGACGCUGAGGAGCGAAAGCAUGGGUAGCGAACAGGAUUAGAUACCCUGGUAGUCCAUGCCGUAAACGGUGGGCGCUAGGUGUAGGGGUCUUCCACGACUUCUGUGCCGUAGCUAACGCAUUAAGCGCCCCGCCUGGGGAGUACGGCCGCAAGGCUAAAAAUCAAAGGAAUUGACGGG